Molecule: long non-coding RNA, 343 nt
Organism: Coccinella septempunctata (seven-spotted ladybird)
Lineage: Eukaryota; Metazoa; Arthropoda; Insecta; Coleoptera; Coccinellidae
Exons: 2
Source: RefSeq, a predicted model, not a curated record
GGAAAAAAGGGGUUCUAUUUUACCUUUUGUUCUUUCCUUCCGAGGUUUAAACACGGAAAAUUUCGGUUUAUAAUAAUAGAUUUCCGACUCAAAUAUGUUGUAGUAUCUCUGUAGAAGUGUCUGAACAAUUCAGAAUGGAGCUCUUGAAAAUUUUUGCUAUCGUUGUUCUAGCCAUGGUUGCUUUUGUUGGCGUAACUUAUGCCGCACCCUUAGAGGAAAAAUCAUUUUGGGAUAUACCACCAAAGGGAUUAGAUCAUUGGAAGGAUGUUUUGGCAGAUGAUUAAUGUUUAAUGAAGGUCUGAAAAGUCCUGUGAAUUUGUGAAAAAUAUAAAUUCACACAUUG